GUCUAUUUGUAUUACUUUAUUGGAGGAAACAUCUUGAAACCUUAAUGAAACACAAAUGAAACCUCCAUUAAGUGAAACGUCUGAACGAUAGCAUCCUCCACUAUGUGUUUUUGCUUCUAAAUCAUGAUAAUUGCAAUCACAACAGCCACCAUAAACGACUUCUAAGGCUCAGUAAUACUGGGGUUUAUAUUCACUCUCUGAGCAAACGUACUAAUUACGCUCGUCCGUCUAUUAGCGGGUCGCAGUUCGCUCUCCCUCCCUCUCAUUGGUGUUUACAGUGAAGGAUUUGCAUACGAGGGGCCUCCGUCUCACUUUCCAUAUGGCAGCGAGAGCGGCCCCGUCUCAAGCGCGCUGACAGCUCAAAAAUGCCUCUCUGAAUGGAUUGUUUCUCCGUCCAGAGAUUUGCAUGCUUGUUCACGAGCGAUUAGCUGUGUUCUCCUCCCCCUACAGCCAAAUCAAGGAUAUGCAAAUGCAAUUAGACAGAGAUUGUGAGCAGCUAACGGUGGCACAGAUGGCAAACGGAGAAAGGUGCCGCCAUCUUUUGGAGGGAAACGGCCAGUCGGCAGAAAGGAGUCGCCAUCUUCUCAUCUUUUUGGAGGAACACAUUUGUUUUCUCAUCUUUUUGGAGGGAAACAGCCAGGCGGCAGAAAGGGGCCACAAUUUUGUCAUUUUUUGGAGGGAAACGGCAGAAGUGGCUACCGUUUUGUCAUCAGUUUGGAGGAAAAUGUCAUUGUCGCCGGGUCGAAGGGAAAUCACCUGCACCGCGAGCCGAUUUCUCAAAGAGCCGGGGCCCGACUCGUCCUUCAGUACAUUACCACCUACACAUCUCCUCACAAUACACACGCAUGCAUCCACACACUGAGCUAAUUACAGGGAGACUCCCGUCCCAUUUCUAUCUGAAUCACUGGAACAGAGGAGGAGAGACGCGCUGGGUCCUCUUUACUGAAAGGACAGGCUUGUGUCUUUGAGGUUUUUCUACAUAAAGAAGAGUAAACAAGGCCCUGGCGAGCUAAUUGAGCGGAACGGCAUCCCUGCUGAUCCUACGAGGGAAAACCAUCAAAAGAGCCAAAGAGAGAGAAGCUGAGGCCUGAGCGUCAGAUCAUUAGACUAAAAACACACAGCCAUAGCAAAUAUACUAAAACUGUAUAUAUUCAAUGCAUUUCAAUAUCUCAUUUGUUUCUCUUUUUCAGCAGAGAGACAUAUUUUGAUGUUUCUCCUGAUCUAAAAGAGCCAAAAAGAGUCUCAACUUUGUCUCAAAGUCUGCAAUGAAAAGCCAGAGACCGCAAUAUAAACUCCUUUAUACGUCUCUUCUGUUCACCAGUGCUGCAUUUAUUUAAUCAAAAAUACAGUAAAAAAUUGUGAAUUAUUAU
Molecule: long non-coding RNA, 1370 nt
Organism: Cyprinus carpio carpio
Lineage: Eukaryota; Metazoa; Chordata; Actinopteri; Cypriniformes; Cyprinidae
Source: Ensembl